This 102-nucleotide small nuclear RNA is filed under the name Mus pahari (shrew mouse). Lineage: Eukaryota; Metazoa; Chordata; Mammalia; Rodentia; Muridae. The record is from RNAcentral.
GUGCUCAUUUUGGCAGCACAUAAAAUUGGAACAAUACAGAGAAAAUUAGCAUGGCCCCUGUGCAAGGAUGACAUGCAAAUUUGUGAAGUGUUUCAUAUUUUU